UACGAACUGUGCGAACGCUCUUCGGAAUCACUGGGCUUAAAGGGUGCGUAGGCGGCGGCACAAGUCAGGUGUGAAAUCCCCCGGCGCAACCGGGGAACAGCGCGUGAAACUAGGUCGCUCGAGUGAGGCAGGGGUGCAUGGAAAUUCCGGUGGAGCAGUGAAAUGUGUACAUAUCGGAAGGAACGCUGGCGGCGAAAGCGGUGCACUGGGCGUUGUCUGACGCUGAGGAACGAAAGCUAGGGGAGUGAAAGGG
Molecule: ribosomal RNA, 253 nt
Filed under: uncultured bacterium
Lineage: Bacteria
Description: partial 16S ribosomal RNA
Rfam family: Bacterial small subunit ribosomal RNA
Source: RNAcentral